This 23-nucleotide non-coding RNA is filed under the name Arabidopsis thaliana (thale cress). Lineage: Eukaryota; Viridiplantae; Streptophyta; Magnoliopsida; Brassicales; Brassicaceae. The record is from RNAcentral.
GGUGGUGGCUGUUGCUUGGUGUA